Molecule: ribosomal RNA, 264 nt
Filed under: uncultured archaeon
Lineage: Archaea
Description: partial 16S ribosomal RNA
Rfam family: Archaeal small subunit ribosomal RNA
Source: RNAcentral
AGUCACUGACAUUAGAUACCCCUGUAGUCCAGGGUGUAAACGCUGCAGACUUGGUGUUGGAGGCCUUUGGGGCAUUCAGUGCCGGAGAGAAGUUGUUAAGUCUGCUACUUGGGAGUACGUCCGCAAGGAUGAAACUUAAAGGAAUUGGCGGGGGAGCACCGUCAACGGGAGGAGCGUGCGGUUUAAUUGGAUUCAACACCGUAAAACUCACCAGGGAAGACUGUUACAUGAAGGCCGAGAUGAAGACUCUGCUAGAUUUUUCAG